UGGUUGUUCAGAAUUUCUUUUGCUUUAUGAACCAUGUAGAAUGAAAAGAAAUCAGGUUAGAAUUUGGUACCCUGUGACAUGAUAAUGCCUACUAUCAUUACAAUUUCAACAAACUUGAACUGGGAUUCAAAUGAAUAGCGUGACUCCAAAGGAAAUGGUUUCAUAAUGGCGUCCAGUGUUCUCAAUUAACACAGGAAAGAUUAAUGGCUUUUUUUUUUUCCUUUGGUGGUCUCUGUUGAGGAAAAAACAUUAGUUGCCAUUUGAUUUUCCACUCAAUUGCGUUUACCAACUGGCAGACAAACCAACAGGGAAAGUUCCUCCAUCCAGGAGCUGGAUUUGCCAUGGGUGUGGCCCAGGCAUGUUACCGCAGCUGAUUCUCCACAGUCUGAAUAGUCCACAGAUAGCGACUCUCACCAAGGGGAAACUCGAAGACGGAACUAGGAGGAAAUACAGCAGCUGUCAAUAAUUAUUAGAGACUGUCCACUUCUCUUCCUUGUGUCUUAAUCCUCUAAUUAGGAACCUCUUCGUCCUUUGAGAACAGCCCAAGUGUAUGUCUGAUUAGCCACUUCCCAACAGGGAGCAAACUGCAUAUCAAAAUGGAUUUGACGCUUCUCAGUAAACUGACAAAUCAGCUAAAGACUGAGUAAAAUGAAAAUGUUAGAAAUAUCACCUCCCAAAAAAAGUGAUGACUGCUAUAGGCUGGAAGAGUUAUGAUCUGUCAGAAUCUUCUGUUGCGAGGAACAGCUUAGCCAUACACCAAUGCUCCAUGGCUGCUGCAGUCAAGAAUCUGAACACGGCCUGGAAUUCUCUGAGGAUGUUAUUCAUAAAGGCACAGUUAAUCAAACUCAGACCUCUCUUCAAAAUCUCACUGUACAAGCCAAACCUAUUGCCAGCAGAAGGAAGGUGCCAGACCAGAGAAGAAAUGCUAUACGCUGCCAGAAAGAAUAUUUUUGGAGCUUCCAGCCCCAACUUGCUGAUGCCCCUUCAGCCUGGGUCCCAGGAACAGACCAGAACACAGCCUACAGCAAGCAACGAAGCCAACUGGAUCCACAGCUUGAAAAGACUCUCUGAGCUGAACUGAAGCUAGAUCUUCUGAGCCACAGUUCCUCUCUGAAGACAGCUCGGUUAACAGCAUUUUAGGAAAAGUAAAUGGAAAUGGAAGCUUGGUUCUGCCCUUGGACACAGAUCCUAUUUUCCCAGAAUUGGAGGAGGUGACAAUGUUAAGGCUGACUCCUUGCAACCCAGUCGAGAAGGAUGAAAGAGAGUUUGUUUUAAAAUGGAAGAUGAAAGCCGAAUUAACAAAUAUGAAACAUGUUUAUUUCAUUUCAUUCUCUGCCAGAGUGUACAUUUGCUGCGGUAUAGAUAA
Molecule: long non-coding RNA, 1366 nt
Filed under: Equus caballus (horse)
Lineage: Eukaryota; Metazoa; Chordata; Mammalia; Perissodactyla; Equidae
Description: lncRNA (ENSECAG00000052520.1)
Source: RNAcentral